UGUUCUGGCAAAUUAUACCAUCCGGUGAAUGGCUCGGCUCAAGCGCUGAAGAAGGACGUACCAAGUUGCGAUAAGCCUCGGCGAACCGCAUGGAGGUUUUGAACCGAGGAUCUCCUAAUGAGACCUCUCAGUGCGCAAGUGCUGAUCCGAAAGGAUCGGGAACGCCCCGGAUUGAAACAUCUUAGUAGGGGCAGGAAAAGAAAUCAAUAGAGAUGCCGCCAGUAACGGCGAGUGAAAACGGCAUAGUUUAAACCGAAUCCCUACCGAAAGGAUAGGGAGAUGUAGUGUCAUAAGCCAGGCCAUAUACAGUGCAAACCAGCGAAGUUGAACUUGUCUGGAACGUCAGACCAUAGAGUGUGAUAGUCACGUAGACGUAAACUGGUGGACUGUGGCUUGGUCUUGAGUACCGUGGGUCGGAAUUCUCGCGGGAAUUUGGGAGUCAUCAAUUUCCAAAACUAAAUACGUCUUGAGACCGAUAGCGUAGUAGUAGUGUGAACGAAAACUGAAAAGUACCCCAAGAAGGGAGGUGCAAAGCGCCUGAAAUCGGAUGGUGAUGGAGCGAUACAGCGUGAAAGGAUCUGUAUAGCGAAGGAAUAUGUCGCGAGGCAUUAGUACGGGCUAUACUGCCAGCGUUGUAUAUUACGUUUUGAAGAACGGGCCAGGGAGUGUACCCAAGUGGCGAGGCUAAUUGAAAGAGCAGCCGAAGC
RNAcentral lists this ribosomal RNA (707 nucleotides) under Candidatus Methanoperedens sp. RNAcentral's name for it is "partial 23S ribosomal RNA". It matches the Rfam family "Archaeal large subunit ribosomal RNA", at positions 1 to 717 of the family's 2987-position model. Lineage: Archaea; Methanobacteriati; Methanobacteriota; Methanomicrobia; Methanosarcinales; Candidatus Methanoperedentaceae. The record is from RNAcentral.